This 255-nucleotide ribosomal RNA is filed under the name Vibrio cholerae. Its description in RNAcentral is "partial 23S ribosomal RNA". It matches the Rfam family "Bacterial large subunit ribosomal RNA", at positions 2031 to 2285 of the family's 2925-position model. The record is from RNAcentral. Lineage: Bacteria; Pseudomonadati; Pseudomonadota; Gammaproteobacteria; Vibrionales; Vibrionaceae.
ACUCAGUGAAAUUGAAAUCGCUGUGAAGAUGCAGUGUACCCGCGGCUAGACGGAAAGACCCCGUGAACCUUUACUACAGCUUGGCACUGAACAUUGAACCUACAUGUGUAGGAUAGGUGGGAGGCUACGAAGACGUGACGCUAGUUGCGUUGGAGCCGUCCUUGAAAUACCACCCUUGUAUGUUUGAUGUUCUAACUUAGACCCGUUAUCCGGGUUGAGGACAGUGCCUGGUGGGUAGUUUGACUGGGGCGGUCU